This 251-nucleotide ribosomal RNA is filed under the name uncultured bacterium. Its description in RNAcentral is "partial 16S ribosomal RNA". It matches the Rfam family "Bacterial small subunit ribosomal RNA", at positions 524 to 774 of the family's 1533-position model. The record is from RNAcentral.
UACGUAGGGAGCAAGCGUUGUCCGGAAUUACUGGGCGUAAAGGGCGCGUAGGUGGGUGCUUAAGUCAGGUGUGAAAACUCUGGGCUCAACCUGGAGACUGCACUUGAAACUGGGUAUCUUGAGGGCAGGAGAGGAAAGUGGAAUUCCUAGUGUAGCGGUGAAAUGCGUAGAUAUUAGGAGGAACACCAGUGGCGAAGGCGACUUUCUGGACUGUACCUGACGCUGAGGCGCGAAAGCGUGGGUAGCGAACG